RNAcentral lists this ribosomal RNA (866 nucleotides) under uncultured archaeon. RNAcentral's name for it is "bacterial SSU rRNA". It matches the Rfam family "Archaeal small subunit ribosomal RNA", at positions 69 to 921 of the family's 1478-position model. The record is from RNAcentral.
UGUCUGGGAGUGGCACACUGCUCAGUAACACGUAGCUAACCUACCCUUAGGACGUGGAUACCCCCGAGAAAUUGGGGUUAAUCCGCGAUAGAUGUAAUGUCCUGGAAUGGUAUUACGUCUAAAGGUAUUUCAUACAUGUUUGAAAUAUGCCUAAGGAUGGGGCUGCGGCCGAUCAGGCUGUUGGUGAGGUAAUGGCUCACCAAACCUUUGACCGGUACGGGCCAUGAGAGUGGUAGCCCGGAGAUGGACACUGAGACAAGGGUCCAGGCCCUAAGGGGCGCAGCAACCGCGAAACCUCCACAAUGCACUCACGUGCGAUGGGGCUAUCUCGAGUGCCACCUGAUGAAGGUGGCUUUUCCUUGGUCUUCAAAGCCUUGGGAAUAAGAGGGGGGCAAGACUGGUGUCAGCCGCCGCGGUAACACCAGCCCCUCGAGUGGUGGGGAUGAUUAUUUGGCCUAAAGCGUCCGUAGCCAGCCGUGAAAGUCUUCCGUUAAAUCCAGCGUCUCAAGCGUUGGACCGCGGGAGAUACUACAUGGCUAGAGAGUGGGAGAGGUCAGCGGUAUUCUGGGGGUAGGGGCGAAAUCCUUUGAUCCCCGGAGGACCACCAGUGGCGAAGGCUGCUGACUAGAACACGUCUGACGGUCAGGGACGAAAGCUGGGGUAGCGAACCGGAUUAGAUACCCGGGUAGUCCCAGCCGUAAACGAUGCAUGCUAGGUGUUGGGUUGGCCACGAGCCACCCCAGUGCCGCAGGGAAGCCGUUAAGCAUGCCGCCUGGGAAGUACGAUCGCAAGAUUGAAACUUAAAGGAAUUGGCGGGGGAGCACCACCAGGCGUGAAGCCUGCGGUUUAAUUGGAGUCAACGCCGG